Molecule: ribosomal RNA, 488 nt
Filed under: uncultured bacterium
Lineage: Bacteria
Description: partial 16S ribosomal RNA
Rfam family: Bacterial small subunit ribosomal RNA
Source: RNAcentral
AUUGAACGCUGGCGGCAUGCCUUACACAUGCAAGUCGAACGGCAGCAUGAUCUAGCUUGCUAGAUUGAUGGCGAGUGGCGAACGGGUGAGUAAUACAUCGGAACGUGCCCUGUAGUGGGGGAUAACUAGUCGAAAGAUUAGCUAACACCGCAUACGACCUGAGGGUGAAAGUGGGGGACCGCAAGGCCUCAUGCUAUAGGAGCGGCCGAUGUCUGAUUAGCUAGUUGGUGAGGUAAAGGCUCACCAAGGCGACGAUCAGUAGCUGGUCUGAGAGGACGAUCAGCCACACUGGGACUGAGACACGGCCCAGACUCCUACGGGAGGCAGCAGUGGGGAAUUUUGGACAAUGGGCGAAAGCCUGAUCCAGCAAUGCCGCGUGUGAAGAAGGCCUUCGGGUUGUAAAGCACUUUUGUCCGGAAAGAAAUGGCUCUGGUUAAUACCUGGGGUCGAUGACGGUACCGGAAGAAUAAGGACCGGCUAACUACGUG